AUUGAACGCUGGCGGCAGGCCUAACACAUGCAAGUCGAACGAGUGGCGGACGGGUGAGUAAUGUCUGGGAAACUGCCUGAUGGAGGGGGAUAACUACUGGAAACGGUAGCUAAUACCGCAUACCAUCAGAUGUGCCCAUAUGGGAUUAGCUUGUUGGUGGGGUAACGGCUCACCAAGGCGACGAUCCCUAGCUGGUCUGCGAGGAUGACACGCGACACUGGAACUGAGACAAGGGGCAGACUCCUACAGGAGGAAGCGGGGGGGAAUAUUGCGCAAUGGGCGAAAGCCGGAUGCAGCGAUGCGGCGUGUAUGAAGAAGGCGUUCGGGUUGUAAAGUGCUUUCAGAGGGGAGGCGUUACCCGCAGAAGAAGCACCGGCUAACUCCGUGCCAGCAGCCGCGGUAAUUC
This 406-nucleotide ribosomal RNA is filed under the name uncultured bacterium. RNAcentral describes it as "partial 16S ribosomal RNA". It matches the Rfam family "Bacterial small subunit ribosomal RNA", at positions 29 to 526 of the family's 1533-position model. The record is from RNAcentral.